GUCUCUCUGAGGCAACUGAAAGCCUGGGGCCGGAGUAAGUGGGAGGCAGACUGGGGCCUUGGUGGUUUCGUGUGGGAGUCCUUACGGAUUAUUCAUUAACAAAUCCAAGAUUGUUGGAUAUGGCACAUCAAUAAAAAGAUAAAUGUUCUGCGCACUCUGGAGGACUUUAUGGCGGGCCCCUCCCAGGAUGAUUUGUUGUUGCGCCGCCAUCUUGGUGACGCCGCAAAGACGCGCCCGUGCGUAGGACGUCAGGAGCAGAGCGUCAUUACCCGGAAGAAAAUGCCGCUGACAGCUGAAACCCGGAAGCGCUCUGAGCUUCUCCAUCUCCUGCCAAACAGAAAGCAAAGAUGGAUGACAUUGUGGUUGUAGCCCCUGGAACCCAGUCCCUCCAUAACAUUAGGAAGGACCCCGAAGUCAUCAAGUUACA
This is a long non-coding RNA of Xenopus laevis (African clawed frog), 427 nucleotides long. RefSeq lists it as uncharacterized. The record is from RefSeq and is a predicted model, not a curated record. NCBI's taxonomy places the organism in Eukaryota, Metazoa, Chordata, Amphibia, Anura, Pipidae. The transcript is spliced from 4 exons.